UACGUAGGGUGCGAGCGUUAAUCGGAAUUACUGGGCGUAAAGCGCGCGCAGGCGGCUCGUCAAGCCUGACGUGAAAGCCCCCGGCUCAACCGGGGAGGGUCGUCGGGGACUGGCGGGCUUGAGGUCGGCAGGGGUUGGUGGAAUUCCCGGUGUAGUGGUGAAAUGCGUAGAGAUCGGGAGGAACAUCUGUGGCGAAGGCGGCCACCUGGACCAACACUGACACUGAGGCACGAAAGCGUGGGGAGCAAACAGG
Molecule: ribosomal RNA, 253 nt
Filed under: uncultured bacterium
Lineage: Bacteria
Description: partial 16S ribosomal RNA
Rfam family: Bacterial small subunit ribosomal RNA
Source: RNAcentral